ACAUUCCCUCAAAAUCAGCGGUAUCUGCUUAGAGUUUGCUGGAAUGACCAACUUUUUUUUAUAAAACAAACGGCCACUUACAAUCGCAAACCCAGUCUUCACUUCCUCUCCCCUUUGUAACUUCAACAACACUUCCUGUAUCUCCUUAUCUUCGUUGAUUUCUUGGUAUAAAUCUCGAAGUUGUAGGUAUGAUGGAACUGUCAAUGCCAACAACUCCGCACUCUGCAUUGUCAAAGCUGAGUAAUCAAUGCGUGAAAGACCAUCAGCUACCUUGUUUUCACUCCCCACCU
RNAcentral lists this long non-coding RNA (290 nucleotides) under Brassica napus (rape). RNAcentral describes it as "long non-coding RNA (BNAP_LNC016930)". The record is from RNAcentral. Lineage: Eukaryota; Viridiplantae; Streptophyta; Magnoliopsida; Brassicales; Brassicaceae.